AUUAAUACACAUACAUAUCUAUAAUAUUGUAUAUUCUUGUAUUGUUAACAAAUGAAAUAGUUUAUGUAAUUUACAAAGUAUUAUGCCGAAGACUUCUGUUUUAAAGACACAUUUCUUAAUUUUUGCAUAUGUCUUAACUUGAUUGCUGUGUACUCUUCACUCUCAAGGAAUUUAUCUCCAAUCAGGCUAAGUGGGUCUCCCAUGAAAAAAUUAACAUGUGUUGAGAUCAGUACACAACAAUAGUUAUAUCUUCAACAAAUGAUAAUGUCAUCUCUAAAUGUUAAAUUACUUGAUCAGUCAAAAAUAUUGCCUUAAAUAUGCCUGCUUCUAAUAAUAAUAAAACAUAAUAAUAUAUAAUUUAUAGGAAAAGUGUAGAAAGCAAGGUAAAUGAAGAAGACAUCUUGAGUGUUUAUUUCUUGCAAACAAAUUUACUGCCGCUGUCUUUCUAACUUUCCCAGCAUUUCGAAAAAGGCCCAAAAAUAAUAAUACCACUCGACGUUCGGAGCGCUUGAAGUGCACACCUGGUACUUUAAACUCGCUUUUUUUCAAAACACACUUUUUUAAACUGGCGGACAUGAUUUCGGUCGAACUACUCAACCGAUUUGCUUAAUCGUCCCUACUAAAUUCAUAAUUUUUUAUAGUUUAUUGACAAUGUUAUGACAAAAUUUAUGCCCCUAUUACGGGUUUCAACCCGACUUGGUCGAAUUGAAGUUAAGGCAAUUCAACUUCAGAUCAACCAAACUCUAUUUCGGUAUUGCGAACUUCAACUAAGUUCAGUCGAAGUAUGAUUGGCGUUGCCAACCUAAGAAAGGGAAAUUUGACAGAUGGUGAGCGACAGUUGUCGCUCGCGAAAAAGUGAAUAAACAUUAAAAUAAAUAAAUAGAUAUAAGUUUUGAUUUAUAUUACAAUGACGAAAAUAUUGUGGACAAAAUUGAUGUGCUACGUAUACGAAAAAGCCUUCGUGAUCAAAUCCAUUGGAGCUUCCAAAUGCAAAAUUCAUUAGUUAUUUUUGAUUAAAUAAAGAAGCAUUUUGUUUUUUACUGAAUGAGAUGAAGGAACAUUUCCACAAACGUGUGCGAGGAAUGGCCAUACCUCCUAUAUUAAAAUUAUGUGCAACUCUACGUUUCCUUGCUGACGGUGGUUAUCAAAAAUGCAGUGGAAAUGAUUUUAACAUUGGGUUGGCGCAACCUACGAUAUCUUUAGUAAUUAAAGAGGUUCUAAAUAUAAUUGAACAACGUAUUUGUGCCCAAUAAAUUAAAAUUCAAAAGACUGAGAAGGAGCAAAACGCUUAAAAAGUUUCAUUUUAUUCAAAAAGUGCUUUCCCGGGAGUAGUUGGUUGCAUCGACGGGACUCAUGUUCGCAUAAUUUCACCAAGAAAAGAAGUGCAACAUCUUUAUCUUAACAGAAAGGGCUACUACAGUUUAAACGUGAUGAUUCUUUAUGAUUAUAAAAUGUCUAUUCGGUAUGUGGAUGCCAGGCAUGCAGGCGCAAGUCAUGACUCUUUUGUUUUCAAUGUUAGCGAUUUGAAAGUGCAUUUACAGAACAACAUACAGAAUAAUACUUGGAUCUUGGGUUAGACUUUAUCGUAUUUAUUGCUAAAUAAUUGGAGUAAUGUAAUUUCUUAGGUGACGCUGGCUAUCCUCUGUACAAAUUUUUAAUGACGCCUUAUCGCUUGGCGGAAGCUUCUUCACCCCAAGCACGCUACAAUACAGUACACUCAAAGGCCCGGAAUAUUGUAGAGCGGACAAUUGGUGUACUCAAGAGUAGAUUUCAAUAUCUUUUAUCUGUACGAGGUUUACAUUACACUCCUGAAAAGGCUACGCAAAUUGUGAAUGCUGUUGCACAGUAUUUGCCAACACUUUCAAGUGGGAUCUCCGGAAGAAAUACUAUCUACUUUAAAUAUUACAAUGACCAAUGAUGUUUUGGGCAUAAAAAGAGAAGAAGAGGAUACAGCUCGAAUAAUUUGCAAUAAUAUUAUGACUUCCCUCUAAACAAUUAAGAUAUUAAAUUUCAUUUAUUCUUUCUAAUGUGCUAUUUAUUCAGGCAUAUAUUUAAAUUUUAUUUAAAUAAAUUCAUUCAUUCAAUAAGAAUAUCACUUCACUUUUUAAUGUAAGCUUAAACUAUGGUACAAAAAUAUAAAAUAUCACUUCAUUCAAGAAUAAUUAAAAAUAAAAUAAAAAAAUAUUAUUUCGUGUGUUAAAUAACCAAAAAAAAAAAUUAAAAUCUUUGCGAAGAUUUUAAUUUAGCAAUUUUGAGGCGCUGCACCUCAAUUUUAAGUGCAUGGAGUUCAUGCGCCUCGUUUGCUUUCCUUUCGUAUAUCUCCAUUUUCCUUUUUUUUUUAUAUCUAAAGCUUCUUUUUGGAGAGUAUAAGAUUUAUGUACAGUUUUCUCCAACUGUUCAAUUUUUUUUUUUUAAUUUGCUGUUGCGUUUCAGCCUGGGUUGAAAGGAGUUGCAGCCUUUCCGACUCCAUGCAAUUGUUCGCCCUCCUUAACUGAACUCUCCUGGAAGGAGUCGGGCGUUCCUGCACAACUGGAGUGUAGGAGGUAUAUUCUCCACACCAAAUGCUGGCCCACUUGGUGCAACUGCUUAAUUGAAUAAGCUGGGCUCAGCGACUGCUCCUGCGACGGUCCACCACCAGUCGCAAGGUAGUUAUUCCUGUUGUUGGCAAAUUUUUUCUUGAGAUUUUCCUUAUAGUGAAUCCACACCUAAUAAAAAAUUAAUAUUUUUAAUGUCAUAACCAUAACUUACUCGUCCCCAUUCGUAGGCAGUUCUGCUUGGUGGCCCUAAACAAUUUAACUGCAGUGCCACACUCUCCCACAAUUCUUUGAUUUUAAAUUUAUUGUUUCCAAAUUGUGGCUUUCCUCUUCCUACUUCUAGAAACUUCUCCAUUAACUCCACCAAUUUUUCGAAUUGCCCUUUUGUUGUAACUUUAUUUUUUCUAAAAAUUUAUAAAAAAUAUGAAUUAAAAUUAAUUUAACAUUAAUAAAAAUAGUUAUUUUACCCGUUCUCCAUUUUUCUUUAAUAUUUUUUUGUAUUUCACUGCACGAAGGAGUCGAAGUUUAUUUAUAUACUAGUCAACCCCACUUGUACAGUGUUGAAAACCGCAAUACCAAAAAAAGUUGAAGUUCGAUCAUACUUCAACGCAAUUUUUUUUUGACGGAUUGAGUUGAAGUUGGCAAUACUGAAUUUUUAAAUUUCGACUGAAAUGCAGUUGGGUUGAAAACCGCAAUAGGGGCAUUGUAUUAAAAAAACAUGGGGAAAAUUAAAAAAAAAAAACGUCAAUUACUUUCUUAUUUAUCAACAUUUUUUCAUGAUUCUAGGACGAUGAACAUUCUUUAUACUUUUUAAUAAUAAAUU
Long non-coding RNA from Bactrocera dorsalis (oriental fruit fly), 3357 nucleotides. RefSeq lists it as uncharacterized. The transcript has 3 exons. NCBI's taxonomy places the organism in Eukaryota, Metazoa, Arthropoda, Insecta, Diptera, Tephritidae. The record is from RefSeq and is a predicted model, not a curated record.